Columba livia (rock pigeon) is the source of this 6399-nucleotide RNA transcript. It is a transcript of the gene named acyl-CoA synthetase long chain family member 3, with no coding region annotated. The transcript is spliced from 16 exons. NCBI's taxonomy places the organism in Eukaryota, Metazoa, Chordata, Aves, Columbiformes, Columbidae. The record is from RefSeq and is a predicted model, not a curated record.
CGGCCGCUGAGCCCAGCCCGUGGCGCGGCGCGGCCGGGGGCGCGCACUCGGGACACGCAGCGGGAGCGGCCGCGCCGGGCGGGUAGAGCCGGCCCGCGAGGUGCGGGCGCCGGCCGCGGGCGUCCUCUGGGCCGGGGCCCGAUAUUUUUGGAUCCCUGUCUGAUUGAUCCAUGUUUCCGAACUCUUCCUCAUAACCUUCACAAGCAGCCAAAAUGAAGUUGAAGCAUGACAUCAACCCUGUUCUUCUACAGUUUAUAAACUUUAUAAUCUUGGUGUACACCGUUGUAACUUACAUUCCCUGGUACAUAUUUUCAGGAUCAAGGGAAGCUAUAGCAAAAGCCAAGCAGGUUAAAGCUAAACCUGUGAAUAACAAGCCUGGGGCUGCAUACAGGUCUGUUAACAGUCAACAUUGCUUAGCUUCUGUUUUAUAUCCUGGAUGUGAUACGCUCGACAAAGUUUUUAAGUAUGCUAAAACUAAAUUUAAGGACAAAAAACUCUUGGGAACACGUGAAAUCCUAAAAGAGGAAGAUGAAAUCCAGCCAUCAGGAAAAGUUUUUAAAAAGGUCAUCCUUGGCAAGUACACCUGGCUUUCAUAUGAAGAUGUAUACAUUAAAGCUGUUAAUUUUGGAAAUGGCUUAGCAGUGUUGGGUCAGCAACCAAAGACCAACAUCGCUAUCUUCUGUGAGACUAGAGCGGAGUGGAUGAUUGCAGCACAGGCCUGCUUUAUGUGCAACUACCAGCUUGUUACUCUGUACGCUACUCUGGGAGGCGCAGCAAUAGUUCAUGGGCUAAAUGAAACAGAGGUGACCACCAUCAUUACUAGUAAAGAAUUGAUGCAAACAAAACUGAAGGCGAUUGUUUCUCAGGUGCCGCUGCUGCGGCACAUCAUUACGGUGGAUGGCAAACCAACAACGUGGUCGGAGUUUCCCAAGGGCGUCAUUGUUCACACGAUGGCUUCGGUGCAGGCGAUGGGCGCCAAGGCAGACACUGGACACAAACAGCAGUCCAGGCCUGUGCCCUCGGAUAUUGCGGUGAUCAUGUACACAAGUGGAUCCACAGGAGUUCCCAAAGGAGUUAUGAUCUCCCAUUGCAACAUAAUUGCUGGGAUAACUGGAAUGGCUGAGAGGAUUCCAAAAGUGGGGGAAAAAGAUGUCUAUAUUGGCUAUUUGCCUCUCGCCCAUGUUCUGGAGCUGAGUGCUGAGCUGGUGUGUCUGUCUCAUGGGUGCCGCAUUGGUUACUCUUCACCUCAGACAUUGGCUGACCAGUCCUCUAAAAUAAAGAAAGGAAGCAAAGGUGAUGUUACUACACUUAAGCCAACCCUAAUGGCAGCUGUUCCGGAAAUUAUGGAUCGGAUCUACAAAAACGUCAUGAAUAAAGUGAAUGAAAUGACUAGUUUCCAGCGGAAUCUGUUUAUCUUGGCCUACAACUACAAAAUGGAACAGAUUUCCAAAGGUUAUACUACCCCGCUCUGUGAUAGCCUUAUUUUCCGGAAAGUACGAAUGCUGCUAGGUGGGAAGCUUCGCAUCCUGCUUUGUGGAGGAGCUCCGCUCUCGGCAGCGACCCAGCGGUUCAUGAACAUUUGUUUCUGCUGCCCCGUGGGUCAGGGGUACGGGCUGACGGAAUCGGCCGGAGCCGGCACCAUCAUGGAAGCUUGUGACUACAGUACAGGGAGAGUGGGAGCACCUUUAGUCUGUUGUGAAAUCAAGUUACUGAACUGGGAAGAAGGUGGAUACUACAACACUGAUAAACCAUAUCCUAGAGGUGAGAUUCUCAUUGGAGGGCCAAAUGUGACUGUGGGCUACUACAAAAAUGAAGCACGGACCAAAAAAGAUUUCACUGUUGAUGAGAAUGGUCAGAGGUGGCUCCAUACUGGAGACAUUGGAGAGUUUCAUCAAGAUGGAUGUCUAAAAAUUAUUGAUCGUAAAAAAGAUCUGGUAAAACUCCAGGCAGGAGAAUAUGUUUCUCUUGGCAAAGUAGAAGCAGCUCUAAAGACUCUUCCACUGGUAGAUAAUAUUUGUGUGUAUGCAAGCAGUAACUGGAUUCUGCAGUUGAGAGGAAACUGAGGUAGGGAAGCCGCACACCAGUCUUCAUACCGGGAUGCAAAACAUGAGGAGAGGCAGGGCGCAGUGACAUCGUGUGGGUGCUGCUUCCCAAAGCUUUGAGCAUGAGACACAGUGGAAUAUGCAUAUGGACAGCACACCUUGAAGCAAUCCAGUUGCUGUAAGUUUCCAUUCUUAUGUGAUUGGAUUUGUUGUGCCAAAUCAAAAGGAGCUCAUAGAACUAGCUCGAAAGAAAGGAUUUAAAGGAACCUGGGAAGAGAUCUGCAACAGUCCUGAAAUGGAAAAAGAGGUACUGAAGGUGCUGGCCGAGGCUGCCAUGGCAGCUAAUCUGGAGAAGUUUGAAAUACCAGUAAAAAUUCGUUUGAGCCCGGAUCCUUGGACCCCUGAGACUGGUCUAGUGACAGAUGCGUUCAAACUAAAACGCAAAGAGCUUACAGCAUACUAUCAAACGGACAUUGAUCGAAUGUAUGGAAAAAAUGGAAAAUAAUUUUUUUGGUUUUUUUUCUGCACCACUUUGCUACAAUGAGUUUGGAUCAAAUAGGAAAUACUUGAAUUGCCUGUCUCAACACUUGGGAUCAAGACACAAACCCACCGUUCCUCAUUUGCAGCUUAAGCUGUUAUUUCUGAUAACAUCACCAUGAUGACUGGCAAGUUUAGUAAAAUGUUACGGCAGCAAACUUGUGUCUGUCUCCUGUUUUCCAGUUUUCUCUGCUACCUUGUCAGUCUGUGGAUUUUUCCCGAGUCUUUUUGGGAAACCAUGAUUCUGAAGCCUCAAGUUUUUAAACAUUUAUAAAUCCUGUAUAAUGUUUUAUUUGUAUCUUUAAAAUUUGGAUGUAUAUAGAGAGAACUCGGCUAUAUAAGAAAUGGUUAUACUGGGGGCCUUUUUUUACCUAACUAUUUAAAGACAAGAAGGUAUUGAUGUUGUGACAUUAUGUACAUUGAAAAUGCUUGUAGCAAGAUCAUUGUUGAACAAAGGACCGAGUUAUUUGCUGCUGUGCUAUUUUUCAGUGUAAAUCUGAGGGAGAUGUUUGACAUUCCAGCUUGUCUAACACACCUUCAAUAUGUGCCUAAUGGUUGCUUUUAUUUUUACCUGAAAAUGAAAACAUGGUCAAUGGCACGGCUCUGCAGAAAGACAGGUACUCUUGCAGGUGUUAGUUAAAGCUUGUUUAAUAGAUGCUAUUAACACAGCAGAAGUUAAACCUAAGAAUAAUCUCUUGAAUACAGAAACUCCUUUUUUAAAUGGCUUGUGAUCGUUCCAACCAGUAGUUGAGUUGUGUAAAGCUAAUAAGAACUCUCAGCAUUAAUUUCACUUAACACUUUGUAGGUUGGACCAGCAUCCUUUUAGUAGAGGGACUGUAGCGACUUUUGUCUUUUCUCACUGGUUUUGGAUGUUACGCUGGGUUUGCUCUUUCAUUGCUUGUGGAAGUCUGGCAAGACCCCUGUUCUGCCCCAGCUGCAACCCAAAUUUUACUGGGGGAUUUUUAAAGUCAUAAUGACAGUUAUGUUCUCAGCUCACACAGUGCCUAGCUGCCCUUUGUGCCAUUAAAAAUCUCCCUUUAAUUCUGCAUUUUUUGUUUUCAAAACAGAUAUUUGAAUUAUUUUUCAGCCAGAGCUAUUUAUGUUGCUUGGUUUGUUACACCCAGUUCUCACUUAGGGAGGGAGUCUCAUUUCUGUUUUACUAUAGAUAAAUGAAUAUUGUUUGAAGUGAGAGUGAUUAGAUUUGUUUCAGAUGUCAAUUUUAUUUUCAAUAUAUUUCUGUAAAGAAUAUUUUAACCAGAGUUACUUGAGAAUGUGAAAGGCAUAUAUCAGCCAACUUUGUGAUGAAGCAAAUAUUAAAAUGGCUUUAAUUUGGACAUUAUUCUCUCAUGCGUACCGUUUACUUGUAGUACUAAAAAUCAAGGUCUCUGCUCACUUAGUGCCCUGCUUUGGCACUCAGCAGUCCUGGGUGGCAGCAGCUUUGUGUGGGGGAAUUUGGGGAGUUCCUUCUGUCCACAUUUGUGACAUCGGAGUUCUAGAAGAUGUUUGAUAUACAACUUCUCAUUUAAAAAAUUCUGAAAUAUUAUUGAAAUUAAUGUUACAUUUAAAAUCUGUUGAUUAUAGAAAGCAGUUUCAUAGAAGUCAGAAGUUACCGGGUGGGUUCCCUGUGCUUUAGUUUUGAUGAAGCACAGAGAAGGUUUGUGCUGUAUCGUAUGUUACGUUGCCAUCUCCCGCUAUACAUGGAUGUCCCCUGCUGCUGCCUAUGAGAAACUGUUACCAUAUGCUGAAUUUUGGUGUCACUAGUCAAAUGGAAAUACGAACAACAGAAAGAAAUCAGAACCACGUUUAUGAGAUUAAUGCCUUCAUAUAUCUAGAUGAUAAAUUAAUGUCACCUGGCAAAUACAGAUAAAGCUGAUGUUGGAAAAUGACUAAAGAACCCGAAUGUGGAAAUUGCCAAGUCUGUAGAGAAGUGUAACACCAUAUAUUAGACAUGACUAAUUACAUAAAUAUGUAUCUGUGCUCCAUCAACAGGUUCUUAAAUAGUUUGUACUCAGCACAGGAUGCAUAUUGAUCAAAUAUUUUUUUGUGAUUUUUAGUGAAAAUGAAUAAACUGCUGAAGUACGAUGUAUAUCACUUGGUGCAUUGUGCAGCAGAUUUAAGAAAAUCUGCUUUUGGUUAAUUCAGAAGAAAUCUGAAGUUAGAAUUUUAUUCUGCUGAAGGUUUAUAUCUACUUUGCGUAAAUGGAACUUUGUAAAUGGUUUAGAAAUAGUAGUUUAAAUUUUUCUUCGAAUCCAGUCACAAGAUUGGGUUGCAGUCUAACUGUGUAUUUGAUUUUACAGUUCAGUUUUUAUAUGUUUAAAAUGGGUGUUGAUAUAUAUAGUUCCUCUGUCUUUAGACAUCACAUUCAUUGUGGACAUUUAUUUCUUCAAUGGAAUGCAGAAGUAAAGCAGUUCAUUAACUUUAGCCUCAGCGUUGAACAUAGAAAGACUUCUAAAAUAUUUGUAUGGGCUUCAAAUAUUUGCAAUGAAUAUGUUUUUUUUUUUUUCUUUUGACUUACGACGAGAGACAGACUUUAAUACCAUUUCUGAGUGCUUCCGUGUCAUGUUGAGGCUGCAAAAAAGGCAACUUUGGGGGAGUUUGGUGAAACCCUGUGUAGAUGCAUCACAUACCAGCCAGGACUUUACCUGGUCAUUCUCCCUGGGUUUUUUUUGUGUCUUCCCAUGCCCAGUGUAACAAGAGGAACUGAAGUACCUGCUGGAGUGUGUUGCUCGUGUCCCAGAGGCUGUGCACAGCUGUGAAUUAGGAAAAGCGCACGGCUGGAAGGAACAGUCUCUGUCACGUGGGGAAUUUUGUAAUGGCAAGAGCUGUGACCUUUAAACGGUCUUUGAACAAGGGGUGUAUACUUCACCUGAGAGGCCCCAAAAUCUGGGGGGAUUUUAAACAAAGCUCUUGUAAAUAUAAGCUUCCCAGGAAUCUGGAUAAUUGGAAAUUGUUAACUAUGUAUUCUGUUCUAAAAAUUUACAUGUUUCAUUAUAAAAAAUGACUGACCAAGAAAUUCCAAGGAUGCUCUGAAUCUCCUUUAAAUUCCUACAGUUAUUUAAAAAUAUGUCAGGACUUUAGGCUAAAUUCAAUCUAGAUGUCAUAAGUGUUCUUUGCAAAGAGUAGUGUUUCAGGAGUAGGUUAGGAAAUUAAAAAAUGACAUGUCAGACAAGACCUUGCGGGUUUACCAACGCUGCUGCUGCUGCAGUUCACACGCAGGCAGGACCAUACCUCAGUGGGAAGCUCGAUCUGUGCAGUAAAAUACUUCGCUGAAGUGAAGGCAAGAAACAAGGUGCAACUGAAGCUGAGUACACAAAGCAUGCUACUACAUCCUACAGGUUUUUAGAGACAAGAUGGAGAGAAGGGUAUGGAAUCGUAUGUUAAAAACGUCCUGUAAAGCUUGUAAAUUUGUGCAGAAAUUGCUAUAGGACGCAAGACUCUUUUGCAAUAGCCUCGAUCCUGCUAAAAUUCACAAGCUUUUAUUCCAUACUAAAACUACAUUUAGGUGAUGCAAUGCAGCAUUUUGAUUUUUUUAUUAAUGUGACAUUAACUACUUUGGACUUGCUAUAAAACUGUGUACAUCUGUUCCUUUACUGGAAGAACAACCUUCAACUUGCAUACACCUUGGACCAGGCUGAAAUGUAAAUUGAAUGACCAGUUGUAUAUUAUUGUAAUUGGUUAUUUAAUGUAAACUCAUUUUCAAUGUGAUCUUGGUUGUUGCUAUGAACUGCCUGAACAUUGUAUAUCCUAAUUGAGUUAUGUUGUAUGAAUUAUUUAUUUGUAAUUGGAUAUCAUGUUUCAAAAAUAAAAUUAAUUUCACAAA